UUCUAGCCCCGAUUGAAGGGAAAAUCCUUUUUUUUUCGUGGCUGGAAAAGCGCUGGCAAAAAAAAGAUUGGAAUGAAAAGCGGGUUCGAGU
This 91-nucleotide small RNA is filed under the name Kaistella chaponensis. RNAcentral's name for it is "Chryseobacterium chaponense Flavo-1 RNA". It matches the Rfam family "Flavo-1 RNA". Lineage: Bacteria; Pseudomonadati; Bacteroidota; Flavobacteriia; Flavobacteriales; Weeksellaceae. The record is from RNAcentral.